UAGGGAAUCUUCCGCAAUGGACGCAUGUCUGACGGAGCAACGCCGCGUGAGUGAAGAAGGAUUUCGGUUCGUAAAACUCUGUUGUUAGAGAAGAACAGCGCAUAGAGUAACUGUUCUGCGUGUGACGGUAUCUAACCAGAAAGCCACGGCUAACUACGUGCCAGCAGCCGCGGUAAUACGUAGGUGGCAAGCGUUGUCCGGAUUUAUUGGGCGUAAAGCGAGCGCAGGCGGUCAAUUAAGUCUGAUGUGAAAGACCCCGGCUCAACCGGGGAGGGUCAUUGGAAACUGGUGGACUUGAGUGCAGAAGAGGAGAGUGGAAUUCCAUGUGUAGCGGUGAAAGGCGUAGAUAUAUGGAGGAACACCAGUGGCGAAGGCGACUCUCUGGUCUGUAACUGACGCGGAGGCUCGAAAGCGUGGGUAGCAAACAGG
This 429-nucleotide ribosomal RNA is filed under the name Bacteroidota bacterium. RNAcentral describes it as "Bacteroidetes bacterium partial 16S ribosomal RNA". It matches the Rfam family "Bacterial small subunit ribosomal RNA", at positions 355 to 776 of the family's 1533-position model. Lineage: Bacteria; Pseudomonadati; Bacteroidota. The record is from RNAcentral.